CAAAGGGAAUGCCUCAGUAACGGCGAGUGAAGCGGCAAAAGCUCAAAUUUGAAAUCCCCCGGGAAUUGUAAUUUGAAGAGAUUUGGGUCCGGCCGGCGGGGGUUAAGUCCACUGGAAAGUGGCGCCACAGAGGGUGACAGCCCCGUGAACCCCUUUAACGCCUUCAUCCCAGAUCUCCAAGAGUCGAGUUGUUUGGGAAUGCAGCUCUAAGUGGGUGGUAAAUUCCAUCUAAAGCUAAAUACCGGCGAGAGACCGAUAGCGAACAAGUACAGUGAUGGAAAGAUGAAAAGCACUUUGAAAAGAGAGUGAAAAAGUACGUGAAAUUGUUGAAAGGGAAGGGCUUGCAAGCAGACACUUAACUGGGCCAGCAUCGGGGCGGCGGGAAACAAAACCACCGGGGAAUGUACCUUUCGAGGAUUAUAACCCCGGCCCUUAUUCCCUU
This 442-nucleotide ribosomal RNA is filed under the name Metschnikowia pulcherrima. Its description in RNAcentral is "partial large subunit ribosomal RNA". It matches the Rfam family "Eukaryotic large subunit ribosomal RNA", at positions 67 to 503 of the family's 3401-position model. The record is from RNAcentral. Lineage: Eukaryota; Fungi; Ascomycota; Pichiomycetes; Serinales; Metschnikowiaceae.